GGCCAGAUGGCCGAGUUGGUCUAAGGCGCCAGGUUUAGGCCCUGGUCUUUUCGGAGGCGUGGGUUCGAAUCCCACUCUGGUCA
This 83-nucleotide transfer RNA is filed under the name Coemansia sp. RSA 2671. RNAcentral describes it as "tRNA-Leu". It matches the Rfam family "tRNA". From Rfam's summary of the family: Transfer RNA (tRNA) molecules are approximately 80 nucleotides in length. Their secondary structure includes four short double-helical elements and three loops (D, anti-codon, and T loops). Lineage: Eukaryota; Fungi; Kickxellomycota; Kickxellomycetes; Kickxellales; Kickxellaceae. The record is from RNAcentral. RNAcentral also lists the same sequence under 6 other names.